UACGGCCAUACCACCCUGAACGCGCCCGAUCUCGUCUGAUCUCGGAAGCUAAGCAGGGUCGGGCCUGGUUAGUACUUGGAUGGGAGAAAUCAGUAGCAGAAAUAA
This 105-nucleotide ribosomal RNA is filed under the name Mustela putorius furo (domestic ferret). The record is from RNAcentral. Lineage: Eukaryota; Metazoa; Chordata; Mammalia; Carnivora; Mustelidae.